UCUGCUCCUGCUUUAACUGCAGCUGAAUGCAAUUAUUCACCUCAAUAUCGCAUGUCUGGCAACAGUUGAUGGGUGGAUUUGAUGAGGAGAACGUGAUAAUAUUACUGACGAACACCAGAAACAUUAAAUAAACUAUUAGCCCUAGAGGCCUGAAGGGAACCAAGCAAAUCGGGCCGGUGCAGUCAGCUACCCUACGAGCAACCUCGAAAGACGAACACGACCUGGAACUCUGCAUCCAGAAUCCCACCUUUGGUCCUGCAACGACGUAACGAAGCUCGAGACAACUCUUCCCAGUUGAGGCGGGAAUCGAACCCGGAUCACCCGGAUGGUAGAGUACCACCUAAUUAUUGCGCCAAUCACUGAUAGUAAUGGUUGAGCGAGGAAGAUGCGUUUUAUCGAUCCUCGGGAGGACAAACACGCUGGACAACUUCCAACGUCUUGCGGAAGGAGUUCUGGGGGGCAAUCAAGGACACGACGAGGAAAAUCCCGUCUGAUAUAGAGACGCCUCUCUAUAUCUGCAAUCUGUAUUACCAUCUCAAUGAUUCAGCUGUGAUAUCUACUAACCUGAACUAAUUCAAAGAAUGAUGUUCUCAAUUUUCACGUGCGACUGUUAAUUAGUUCUCGCAAAUAUGGAUGUGCUUUUUUUACAUGUAUCGAACAUGAAACUUUUUUUUAGCGCCAAGAAAACAUAAUUUUAGUUGUUGUAAGCAAGAAAAACUUGCCCCAGUCUUACAUAAGAUAAUAUUCGAAUUUUAUUAUAAUUAUUUAUUGGAUUAUGGACGGCGAUUUACUGAAUAAUAUCAAACGAUUUGGUUAUAAACUUUAAUUCUUUAUCAUCGUAUGCAGAAGGUAUAUCUUUCUCCUAUGAUGUCUCCAAAGCGACUAACCCUUAGUAAUUAAAAUUUUCACACUUUGAACCCAUUCAACAAAAAGGCCCUUGUUCAUUCAUUUCUUUCUUUUUCUUCUGUGGUCCUGUUUAUUAGAAGUGUUGUAAAUAUUCACUGAGAGAAGCGAUUCAUUUAUAUGGCAAACGUUGUUUUGCCAUAUGAAUAAUUUCCUAGUAAUUUCGUUCUCAUCCCUACUCCGUGCUGUUUACUGGAUCAGAAGUGAUACCUGUAGACAUCUGGCGGGGAUAACUAAUUAAAUGACGAUUGAUCAGGUUUCGACCGGAGAGGAAAAAUGAUUAAAUUACUAAAAUGGCUAUUAAAAAAUAAGGGUUAAUCGUAGAAGGGUGAAAAUUGAGGAUUGUAUGUAUUUUUGUAUGUUGUAUCAUAAAAAGAUAGAAAAUAAAAAUUUUGUCUAAAAAAUAAAAAAAAUAAAUUUAGGGGUGGACUACCCCUAACAUUUAGGGGGAUGAAAAAUAGAUGUUGGCCGAUUCUCAUAGAUACCGGAUAAGCACCAAAAAUUUCAUCAA
Long non-coding RNA from Diachasmimorpha longicaudata, 1414 nucleotides. RefSeq lists it as uncharacterized. The record is from RefSeq and is a predicted model, not a curated record. The transcript has 3 exons. NCBI's taxonomy places the organism in Eukaryota, Metazoa, Arthropoda, Insecta, Hymenoptera, Braconidae.